CCCGCUGAACUUAAGCAUAUCAAUAAGCGGAGGAAAAGAAACUAACAAGGAUUCCCCUAGUAACUGCGAGUGAAGCGGGAAAAGCUCAAAUUUAAAAUCUGACGGUCUUUGGCCGUUCGAGUUGUAAUCUAGAGAAGUGAUGCCCGCGCUGGACCGUGUACAAGUCUCCUGGGAUGGAGCGUCAUAGAGGGUGAGAAUCCCGUCUCUGACACGGACUACCAGGGCUUUGUGGUACGCUCUCAAAGAGUCGAGUUGUUUGGGAAUGCAGCUCAAAAUGGGUGGUAAAUUCCAUCUAAAGCUAAAUAUUGGCGAGAGACCGAUAGCGAACAAGUACCGUGAGGGAAAGAUGAAAAGAACUUUGGAAAGAGAGUUAAACAGUACGUGAAAUUGCUGAAAGGGAAACGCUUGAAGUCAGUCGCGUUGGCCGGGAAUCAGCCUUGCUUUUUGUGAGGUGUACUUCCUGGUUGAUGGGUCAGCAUCAAUUUUGACCGUCGGAUAAAGGCCGAGGGAACGUGGCAUCCUCCGGGGUGUGUUAUAGCCCUUGGUUCGCAUACGGCGAUCGGGAUUGAGGAACUCAGCGUGCCUUCAUUGGUCGGGGCUUCGCGGCUCACGUUAACGCGCUUAGGAUGCUGACAUAAUGGCUUUAAGCGACCCGUCUUGAAACACGG
This 668-nucleotide ribosomal RNA is filed under the name uncultured fungus. RNAcentral's name for it is "eukaryotic LSU rRNA". It matches the Rfam family "Eukaryotic large subunit ribosomal RNA", at positions 24 to 664 of the family's 3401-position model. The record is from RNAcentral. Lineage: Eukaryota; Fungi.